Molecule: long non-coding RNA, 1594 nt
Organism: Medicago truncatula (barrel medic)
Lineage: Eukaryota; Viridiplantae; Streptophyta; Magnoliopsida; Fabales; Fabaceae
Exons: 3
Source: RefSeq, a predicted model, not a curated record
UGGGGUGAAUGCUUUAUCUCUUUCUUUUGGUGAUUGCUCUCUAGGUGUUUAUUUUUAUUUCUCUAUGAAAUGGUUUUGUUUGUAGUUUCUUUUGUGGGGUUGUUUUAUUUUGAUUACUGGAUUGAGUAUGUUAUAAAGUUUAGUUUAUGUAAUUGGGUAUACGAUGGGGUUUUGAUAAUUCAAUUUGAGUCAUGUCUUUUAUAUAGAAAUGAGUUUUCAUAAAAUAAUAUGAGAUAUUGCUCACUAUGUGUUUGUGUUUAUGUCACUACGUGUUUGUGUUUAUGAAAAAUAAUAUACUUAUUGGUUUGAUAUAUAAUUGCUCGACCGAAAGAUGUUAUGCAGUUUAAUGGCUUGGUAAGGUCAAACGCAAUCACGACAUCAUAUUUUAUUUUGUUGUUGAUAUCAUGAUGAAUAGGAAGGUGGACUUGAGAAAAAGGUAAAUUCUUUGGGGCUAGUAUUUCUUCAAGAAGAUUUUUUGUGCAAUCGAUUUUCUUUUAUUUUGCUUAAGUGAUGGAACCAAAACACAGAAUUUGUAAUAUUAUGCAUUUCAGUACAAUAUAAUAGGUAAGUGUGGUAUUUAUGUGCUUGUGUUAUGAGCAAAUUUUAGAAUAACACCAAAGGACUAUAGAUAUCAAUUUUACUUGUGACUUGUUGGAUAUUGUUCUUAGACCCACCUUCCCCAUUGUGGUCAACUUAUGUAUUGAGUUUCUAAAGGUUGGUAAUCUUUUACUCAAGCUUUUCUUAAUCUUCUUAUAAGGUUUGGGUCAAGGAGAGUGAAAUAUAAGGUUUUGAUUAGGUGUUUUCAACAUGUUCUUUUUAAUCUUAAUUAAGCAUAUAGGCUGUUGGAGACUUGGAGUGUCAGAAAAUAUCGUUGCAUGGUUUUAUGCUUUAGACUAGUGUAUUUAUUCAUAAUCAAGUGCAAAGGGAAUACAUUUCAUUGAAUUGAAUGUACUUCUUAACAAUGAACUUACUUGAAGUUCAAGAAUACAAGGGUGAGAGGUGUGGAGCAUCGAAGUUGUGACCACAAAAGAAAACUAUACAUUCAAGCAUAUAUGGACCACACCAACUUCCUUUCAUAUUCAUAUGCUUAAUCCUAACUUGGCUCAUGGUAACUUGAUUCUUGUUUUAUUGAUACAAUUACUUAUUUUAUUUUUUGUAGUGUCCUCGCCAAGAAAAUGGUAUAAAUUGUGGGUACUUUGUGAUGAGGUUUAUGAAAAAGAUUCUCAUUUCAAAACUAAAUGAGAUUCCAAAGCUGUACAUUGAUGGUUUCAAGUGUGUGACAUACUCAAAAGAUUAACUAAUAGAAAUCCAAGAAGAAUGGUGUCGGUUCAUGAUCAACCUAAAAGUUAUAUGAUUUUUUUAUAAUAAAGUGGAGGAGAGUGAACGAAAUUUGGAAAUGAAUGAUGAUUUGCCUGCUUGUUUUGGAUAAAAAUGUUGUGACGACCAAGAAGAUAGAUGAAGACUGCAUGCUACCAUAGAAGAUUUUGAUCCUUAUGUUAACUAAUUAGUUGUAACUUAUAUUAAUGGCUAUACAUUAUGACUUUUAUUCUGUAUAUACAUACAUUUUUUAUGAUAUGUUUAAGUUUUAUUUGAU